CUGUGAGCUCGAUGAGUAGGGCGGGACACGUGGUAUCCUGUCUGAAUAUGGGGGGACCAUCCUCCAAGGCUAAAUACUCCUGACUGACCGAUAGUGAACCAGUACCGUGAGGGAAAGGCGAAAAGAACCCCGGCGAGGGGAGUGAAAAAGAACCUGAAACCGUGUACGUACAAGCAGUGGGAGCCUCUUUAUGGGGUGACUGCGUACCUUUUGUAUAAUGGGUCAGCGACUUAUAUUCUGUAGCAAGGUUAACCGAAUAGGGGAGCCGAAGGGAAACCGAGUCUUAACUGGGCGUUAAGUUGCAGGGUAUAGACCCGAAACCCGGUGAUCUAGCCAUGGGCAGGUUGAAGGUUGGGUAACACUAACUGGAGGACCGAACCGACUAAUGUUGAAAAAUUAGCGGAUGACUUGUGGCUGGGGGUGAAAGGCCAAUCAAACCGGGAGAUAGCUGGUUCUCCCCGAAAGCUAUUUAGGUAGCGCCUCGUGAAUUCAUCUCCGGGGGUAGAGCACUGUUUCGGCAAGGGGGUCAUCCCGACUUACCAACCCGAUGCAAACUGCGAAUACCGGAGAAUGUUAUCACGGGAGACACACGGCGGGUGCUAACGUCCGUCGUGAAGAGGGAAACAACCCAGACCGCCAGCUAAGGUCCCAAAGUCAUGGUUAAGUGGGAAACGAUGUGGGAAGGCCCAGACAGCCAGGAUGUUGGCUUAGAAGCAGCCAUCAUUUAAAGAAAGCGUAAUAGCUCACUGGUCGAGUCGGCCUGCGCGGAAGAUGUAACGGGGCUAAACCAUGCACCGAAGCUGCGGCAGCGACACUAUGUGUUGUUGGGUAGGGGAGCGUUCUGUAAGCCUGUGAAGGUGUACUGUGAGGUAUGCUGGAGGUAUCAGAAGUGCGAAUGCUGACAUAAGUAACGAUAAAGCGGGUGAAAAGCCCGCUCGCCGGAAGACCAAGGGUUCCUGUCCAACGUUAAUCGGGGCAGGGUGAGUCGACCCCUAAGGCGAGGCCGAAAGGCGUAGUCGAUGGGAAACAGGUUAAUAUUCCUGUACUUGGUGUUACUGCGAAGGGGGGACGGAGAAGGCUAUGUUGGCCGGGCGACGGUUGUCCCGGUUUAAGCGUGUAGGCUGGUUUUCCAGGCAAAUCCGGAAAAUCAAGGCUGAGGCGUGAUGACGAGGCACUACGGUGCUGAAGCAACAAAUGCCCUGCUUCCAGGAAAAGCCUCUAAGCAUCAGGUAACAUCAAAUCGUACCCCAAACCGACACAGGUGGUCAGGUAGAGAAUACCAAGGCGCUUGAGAGAACUCGGGUGAAGGAACUAGGCAAAAUGGUGCCGUAACUUCGGGAGAAGGCACGCUGAUAUGUAGGUGAAGCGACUUGCUCGUGGAGCUGAAAUCAGUCGAAGAUACCAGCUGGCUGCAACUGUUUAUUAAAAACACAGCACUGUGCAAACACGAAAGUGGACGUAUACGGUGUGACGCCUGCCCGGUGCCGGAAGGUUAAUUGAUGGGGUUAGCGGUAACGCGAAGCUCUUGAUCGAAGCCCCGGUAAACGGCGGCCGUAACUAUAACGGUCCUAAGGUAGCGAAAUUCCUUGUCGGGUAAGUUCCGACCUGCAC
Molecule: ribosomal RNA, 1611 nt
Filed under: Escherichia coli
Lineage: Bacteria; Pseudomonadati; Pseudomonadota; Gammaproteobacteria; Enterobacterales; Enterobacteriaceae
Description: partial 23S ribosomal RNA
Rfam family: Bacterial large subunit ribosomal RNA
Source: RNAcentral